CAGCAGCCACGGUAAUACGUAGGGUGCAAGCGUUAAUCGGAAUUACUGGGCGUAAAGCGUGCGCAGGCGGUUCUAUAAGACAGAUGUGAAAUCCCCGGGCUCAACCUGGGAACUGCAUUUGUGACUGUAGAGCUGGAGUGCGGCAGAGGGGGAUGGAAUUCCGCGUGUAGCAGUGAAAUGCGUAGAUAUGCGGAGGAACACCGAUGGCGAAGGCAAUCCCCUGGGCCUGCACUGACGCUCAUGCACGAAAGCGAGGGGGGCAAACAGGAUUAGAUACCCCCGUAGUCCCUGUCUCUUAUAC
Molecule: ribosomal RNA, 301 nt
Filed under: uncultured bacterium
Lineage: Bacteria
Description: partial 16S ribosomal RNA
Rfam family: Bacterial small subunit ribosomal RNA
Source: RNAcentral